UUUCAAAAGAACAAUAGUAUUUGCUGGUGGGAGAUUCCCAGGUGAGUCUCAGGCUAACGGGUAGAGAUCUUACAGGUGAACCGAUAGGAUGAUUGUGCCCCUAGGUCAGUCAACUAUACUUCGACUCUAUAGCUCACAAGACUUCGUCAAGCCUUACGGCUCAUCUUGCCCGUUCGGUAUCGCUUUAAUGCAUUUCUGUUAAGUUUCAUGGGCUAACGUUCGCUACUUUAUAUUCAUUCGCUUAGUCAUGACCGCUUCCUAUUGGUUUUUCAGCUCUCUGCUCAGAAGGAAAAACUCUCAGAUGGGCUGUGGGGUAGAGUUAGUAUAAAGACUACGUUAAGGCUUUGAUGCUGCACUUACUCAAGCUUUAUAUUCAGUUGAUGACCAGCAAGGUAGUACUUUUCUUAAUAGAAGCGCAAGGUUCCCUGCCG
This 431-nucleotide unclassified non-coding RNA is filed under the name Hevea brasiliensis (rubber tree). Lineage: Eukaryota; Viridiplantae; Streptophyta; Magnoliopsida; Malpighiales; Euphorbiaceae. The record is from RNAcentral.